This 255-nucleotide long non-coding RNA is filed under the name Homo sapiens (human). RNAcentral's name for it is "HSALNT0141945". Lineage: Eukaryota; Metazoa; Chordata; Mammalia; Primates; Hominidae. The record is from RNAcentral.
GGAAGCGGAGGACAAACUCCCCGGUGAACCAGCUAAUGCACACAUACUCCAGGAUUUCCAGCAGCUGCAGGUCCAGCCAGCUUAACUCAGCUGACAUCAGGGCCAUGUUAAUGAUGGACACCACCACGAAGAUAAUGGAGAUGACGCCAAAGAUACGGGCAGCUGUGGAAGAUCCAGGUUUCUCCAGGAUAUUCCAGAGCUUCUGGCGAACAGUGGGACAAGGUCCUUGGGAGAAGUCCUGUUCACUCUCAUGUU